This 155-nucleotide small nuclear RNA is filed under the name Cervus elaphus hippelaphus. It matches the Rfam family "U1 spliceosomal RNA". Rfam says of the family: U1 is a small nuclear RNA (snRNA) component of the spliceosome (involved in pre-mRNA splicing). Its 5' end forms complementary base pairs with the 5' splice junction, thus defining the 5' donor site of an intron. The record is from RNAcentral. Lineage: Eukaryota; Metazoa; Chordata; Mammalia; Artiodactyla; Cervidae.
ACUUACCUGGCAGGGGAGAUACCAUGAUCACGAAGGUGGUUUUCCCAGGGCGAGGCUUAUCCAUUGCACUCCGGAUGUGCUGACCCCUGCAAUUUCCCCAAAUGUGGGAAACUCGACUGCAUAAUUUGUGGUAGUGGGGGACUGCGUUCGCGCUU